UACGUAGGUGACAAGCGUUGUCCGGAUUUACUGGGCGUAAAGAGCGCGCAGGCGGUCGUUCAAGUCGAGUGUGAAAGCCCCCGGCUCAACUGGGGAGGGUCAUUCGAUACUGAUCGACUCGAAGGCAGGAGAGGGAAGUGGAAUUCCCGGUGUAGUGGUGAAAUGCGUAGAUAUCGGGAGGAACACCGGUGGCGAAGGCGGCCCCCUGGACCGGUACUGACGCUGAGGCGCGAAAGCGUGGGUAGCAAACGGG
This 253-nucleotide ribosomal RNA is filed under the name uncultured prokaryote. Its description in RNAcentral is "partial 16S ribosomal RNA". It matches the Rfam family "Bacterial small subunit ribosomal RNA", at positions 524 to 776 of the family's 1533-position model. The record is from RNAcentral.